UCUCGGUUCUGCCGGGGGGAAUCAGUCUGGAUGUUUCUUCCUCUUUCUCGGAACGUUAACAGGGGUUCAUGGUUCGCCAUGUUCUCUUGGUUUCGCAGGAUUUACUUUGAAUAAAUUAGGGCGUUCAAAGCAGGCGCAACUCGCCUUGAAUACAUUAGCAUGGGAUAAUAGAAUAUGACCUUUGGUCUACUUAUUGGUUUCUAAGGCCAAGGUAAUGAUUAAUAGGGAUAGUUGAGGUCGCUCGUAUUCAAUGGUCAGAGGUGAAAUUCUAAGACCCAUUGAGGACGAACAAAUGCGAAGGCAUUCGACAAGGAUGUUUUCAUUAAUCAAGAACGAAAGUUGUGGGAUCGAAGAUGAUUAGAUACCGUCGUAGUCACAACCGUAAACUAUGUCGACUCAGGAUCCGGGGAUGUUACAUGGAUGACUCUCCGGGCACUGUGUGCGAAAGCAUAAGUAUUCUGACUCCGGGGGGAGUAUGGUCGCAAGGCUGAAACUUAAAGGAAUUGACGGAAGGGCACCACCAGGAGUGGAACCUGCGGCUUAAUUUGACCCAACACGGGGAAACUUACCCAGUCCGGACACAACGAGGAUUGACAGAUUGAUAGCUCUUUCUUGAUUUUGUGGAAGCCGGUGCAUGGCCGUUUUUAGUUGGUGGAGUGAUUUGUCUGGUUUAGUCCGAUAACGAACGAGACCAUAAUCUGCUAAAUAGUGUCGUUUAACAAGGAGACUUACGGGGCGGUCGGGUUUACUCGGCAGUUUCGUGGGUUUCCACUAAAUUGUUGGCGAAAGAUUUACUUCUUAGAGAGACUCUUGAUGAUGCAAAAAUCAAUGGAAGAAUAUGGCAAAAACAGGUCUGUGAUGCCGCUCGAUGUCUGGGGCUGCACGCGCGUUACACUGAGAUGUUCAACAAGUAUUAUUCAUGACCUGGCCCGAAGGGGUUCAGGUAAUCUCGAAAGCAUUUCGUGAUGGGGAUUGUGCCUUGAAACUAUUGCACAUGAACGAGGAAUUCCUAGUAAGGGUAGGUCAUCAACCUGCCCUGAUUACGUCCCUGCCCUUUGUACACACCGCCCGUCGCUUCUACCGAUCGAAUUGCUCGAUGAGGACUCGGGAUGAGGGGGUAACUCGUAGGCUGAAAGGUCUGCGCGUCCUCUUCAGAACCU
Molecule: ribosomal RNA, 1160 nt
Filed under: metagenome
Description: bacterial SSU rRNA
Rfam family: Eukaryotic small subunit ribosomal RNA
Source: RNAcentral